RNAcentral lists this ribosomal RNA (482 nucleotides) under uncultured bacterium. RNAcentral describes it as "partial 16S ribosomal RNA". It matches the Rfam family "Bacterial small subunit ribosomal RNA", at positions 28 to 507 of the family's 1533-position model. The record is from RNAcentral.
GACGAACGCUGGCGGCGUGCUUAACACAUGCAAGUCGAACGCUGAAGCUCAGCUUGCUGGGUGGAUGAGUGGCGAACGGGUGAGUAACACGUGAGUAACCUGCCCUCUUCUUUGGGAUAACGCCCGGAAACGGGUGCUAAUACUGGAUAUUCACUGAUUCUCGCAUGGGGGUUGGUGGAAAGGUUUUUUCUGGUGGGGGAUGGGCUCGCGGCCUAUCAGCUUGUUGGUGGGGUGAUGGCCUACCAAGGCUUUGACGGGUAGCCGGCCUGAGAGGGUGACCGGUCACAUUAGGACUGAGAUACGGCCCAGACUCCUACGGGAGGCAGCAGUGGGGAAUAGUGCACAAUGGGCGAAAGCCUGAUGCAGCGACGCCGCGUGAGGGAUGGAGGCCUUCGGGUUGUAAACCUCUUUCGCUCAUGGUCAAGCCGCAGCUUUGGGUUGUGGUGAGGGUAGUGGGUAAAGAAGCGCCGGCUAACUACGUG